CUGUCUGAUUCUCUUGUGGUUUUGUAAUCUGUAGCUCUUUUGUACUGACUGCGGUUUUCCAGCCCAACUGGGCUAUUUAUAACUGACAGUUGCGGGGGGGGGCGGGGUUUAGCAGUCGCAGGUUGCGCUGGUUUGUGCUAUUUUGCUUGUAGUUUCAGAAACGUCUCUCUGACAGAAUUUGCUGCUUACAUUCUAAUCUACGGAGCAGGAUCACACCAACUGAGCAUGCUCAGUAACAUCUGCUGCCUUCACUUGGAAUCAGAUUCUGCUGCCUGCUCUUAACAGAUACCGUAGAGACGAGAUAAUUAAGAAUGUGCCUGAAAAAGUAAUUCCUUGUAUGUAUCUUACUGAAUUCUGAGCCAAGUGGAACAAAGCAUUACAAUCCUACAAGCUGUUAGAAACAACUGACCAGGAAUCCAAAACGUUCCAAACUAAUUGUGUUUAUCCAGCCAGAACGGGGAGGAAUGCUCCUACAUUGAGUGGUGGAGAUAGCAUUGC
Molecule: long non-coding RNA, 498 nt
Organism: Gopherus evgoodei (Goodes thornscrub tortoise)
Lineage: Eukaryota; Metazoa; Chordata; Testudines; Testudinidae
Exons: 3
Source: RefSeq, a predicted model, not a curated record